ACUUUUGCCUGAUGAUCCAGAAUAACAAUCUGAAGGGGGGACCAGUAAUUUGCUCUGUCCUCAGCAUCACCAAUGCUGGCAAAGUGAUGUCUGUAAAAGCAAAACUUUGCCAAGAAGUGACCAAGAACAUUGUAUGUGCAAAUCAGGAAUAUCUUCAUGAAAGUCAGUAGAGUUAAAAAUCUCAGGCCUCUGUUAAGUUGCGUCAGCCUGUCCACCCCCUCAGAUCAGCAUCCAAACUAUGAGAGAAGAAAUGUAAUUUCUGCUUCAGUUUCUGGUGUUGGUUUUCAGAUAUGACUAAUAUUAAUGUAGAAAGAUGGAAGAAUCUGGAAGAGAGGACACACAAGAAUACCAGGCUUUUGGAAAAAGUCUUUCAUUGUCUCCAUCAUCAAUGUUUUGUGACAUGAGAGCAACUUAUGUGAGCAUGCUCUCAUGACUCAGGAGUACCACCAAGCACCCAGAGAUUUAAAAGGCCUGAUCUUCUGAUGAAGAAAUCUUGAAGAUGGAUUCAAAAUCUCCCAGACCCCUCUUCAGGCAGGAAACAGUUCCCUCCUGGAUUUUCAGCAUUCAUUCACAGGUGGAAAAGGAGGAUCAGAAAAGGAAUGGGAUCUUGAUGUGUGGUCUGGCCUGAAGCAUCUUUAUGCCCAGAAAUGCCUACUAAAACAGACGUGUCAUCUGGCAAGUGAAUGUUUCACAGAGAAAAAAACCCAUUUCUGCUUUGAUUAUUGGCUGUGAAGCAGUUUUGUGCUCACAGUAUAUACAUUUUCCCUUUUAUAUAAAUCUACCUAUCGUUUGCAUCAUCUCUGAUAAUGCUGUAAAAGCAAAAUAUAUCAUAUGCUUCGAAACAAA
Passer domesticus (house sparrow) is the source of this 846-nucleotide long non-coding RNA. RefSeq lists it as uncharacterized. The record is from RefSeq and is a predicted model, not a curated record. NCBI's taxonomy places the organism in Eukaryota, Metazoa, Chordata, Aves, Passeriformes, Passeridae. The transcript is spliced from 4 exons.